CUUUUUAAAUGUGGGAUUUAAAUGAUACCAUGAUCACGGAGGAGGUUUUCCCAGGGUGAAGCUUAUCUAUUGCACUCCAGGUGUGCCAUCUCCCCAAAUGCGAGAAACUGCAAUCAUUUAUGGUAGUGGACUGCUUUUGAGCUUUCCC
RNAcentral lists this small nuclear RNA (148 nucleotides) under Jaculus jaculus (lesser Egyptian jerboa). RNAcentral describes it as "U1 spliceosomal RNA (ENSJJAG00000000625.1)". The record is from RNAcentral. Lineage: Eukaryota; Metazoa; Chordata; Mammalia; Rodentia; Dipodidae.